This 225-nucleotide non-coding RNA is filed under the name unidentified. The record is from RNAcentral.
AAGUGCGUGCUGCUUUGAGGUUCCCGUCUGCUUGCAGACGGGUUAAACGGGAAACAGGUGAGGGGAAAUAACCCGAUGCCUGUGCUGCCCNNNNNNCCGAUGCCUGUGCUGCCCCCGCAACGGUAAGCGAGUGCGGAUUUGCCAGUAGGCCACUGUGAGCGAUCAUGGGAAGGCGGCAAAUCAAGACUUGCGAGCCCGGAGACCGGCCUGGAAGCAAAAGGAACA